AGGGACAUUUAAAACAGAUUUUUGUUUUUCUUAACUCCUCUUGGAUGCUUCCCCAACUCCGUCCUUACCUGCACAGAGGGUUGUUGGCCAAGACCAGUGGCUGGAGCUGCCCCUGUGGCAUCAGGGUCCUUUGUGAGGUGGCCUCUGUGACAGAGGUGCUAUGACUCAGGGGCCACCAACCCCAAGCUCUCUGCACCAGCCACACCAGUCCCGGCCUCCAACUCCCCAACACCACCUGCCUGACCUAAGCUUUGCCAUGCUGCUGCCACUGCUGGGAGCCUGUGCUGUGGUGGGGCCGUUCUGGGGCCCUGAGUGGGAGCCAGUGCAGGGCCUGCUGUCCCAGGACUGCAGCUGCAGGGACCCCCGGUGCUGUGGCAACCUGCUCGUCAUCUGCCUCUUUCUGGUCUGGCAGGUCCGGCAUUUCUGGUACCACGUCAGCAGGAUCUGCUCCAGCAAGGAGAAUGUCAGCAAGGUGCCACUGCAGAACUGCAUCAGUCCCUCUGAGAGAGGCGCGGCUUCCUUCUGGCCCACCCCUGAAUUCUUCAGCCCCAGCCACUUCAGGGACCUGGACGCUCACACCCGACAUGCGGCUCACAGUCCGAGAUGGAGACACCAGAGGAACCUGCAGGAAGCCUGGGCCCAGUGCCCGCUCAGUCCACAGUGUCCGUGUCGGGACUCACCGUGGACGGUCUGCAGCCUCUCUGAGCGCAUCUUUGGCACCUCCUCCCUUUCAAGCACCGGUCUGCUCCCUCAGAACAGUUCCUGGGAAGCAUGGCACACGCUCUGGUGUCUCAGCAGCAGCCAGCUUCACCCUGCCCUGCACACAUGGCAAAAGAUACAGCAGCUGCUGGUUCACUCCCAUGAGUUGCUGGUGCCCCUGGAGCAGACUGUCAGCAGAAGGACCAGCUCUACCUCCACAACCUUAGCCAUCUCUCUCCCGGACCUCCCCGCAGCUCAGAGGCUGCGGGCCUGCCCCAGAGAGUCCCUGCCUGCUCCUUCCAGCCUGCACCUGGAAAUGCUCACCUGGAAGGCCUGCGGAAGCUCCCAAGACACCCGGACACCGUGCAGUGACACACAGACAGUAGCCAGAGAGUACAGUAGAAAGACCCAGGCUCCUAGGUGUGGAAACCAGAGAGAGGGCAGAGAAAUCCAGGCGUCCGAGGGCCAAUUGCCAACAGACUGUGGAACAGAGGACGCUGCAGAGGCCAAGGCCUUGGGAUGCGGAAAGCAGAGACAGGUCAUCAGAGAAACUGAGGGAGAGAUCCUGGCGCCAGAGCAGGAGAAGCAGAUGGGAGUUGAGAAUAGAGCCCAAGCUGAGGAGCUAGGGAAGAAAACACAGAGGGCGGCUGGAAGUAAGAGUCCUCCUGAAACCCGGGCUCAUACAGGGGAGAACCAAGAACAGUUAAGAUGGCAAACUGAUGCAGAGACCCAAACUCCAGAGUGGGGCUCCCAGGAUAAGAACAGAGAUGGGGAUGCGGGGCGGACACAGACGUACGAUGGGAAGAACCAGGAGGCCAGAGAGGGGGAAGAGGGCGUGGGCCAGGCCCGAGGACUAGAGAAACAGGGCCACCCUGGAGGGGACGAUGGUGAGGAGGCCCUGUCUCCUGAGGAGGAGGAACAAAACCAGAUGAGAGAUGAUACUGGUGCAGAAGUUGAGGCCGAAGAGGGGAGGAACAAGGACCAGGUUGGAAGUGGGGAGACCGUGCAAACCCAGGCACCUGGGGGACAGAACCUGGAAGGCAAACAACAGCACGAUGCACAGGGCCAGGGCCAGGGCCAGGAGUGCGGGAGACAGAAGGCUGCAGAAGCCCAGACGCCGGCGGGGGAGAAGCAGGGUCAGGGGGAAAGCGAGAGAGCCAGGAACACUGAAGCGUGUAGGGGAGAGAACUGGAAACGGUCACAACGUGCGACUCCAGCGGGGUGGGAAAACCAAGGCCUGGGGAGAGGCGAGGACGCUGGGGACCCUCAGACAUCGAGGAAGAAGCAGUUCAGGGAGAUCAGAGAGGUGGACUGGGUGGUGAUCAAGGCACCCUGGUGGGGAAACCAGAGACUAGUGGUGAGUGAGCUUCACCGAGAACUGAAGACGCCCUGUCAGGGGAAGCAGGACCAAAACCAGGCUGGAGAGGAAAAUACAGCAGACAUUCAGGCCACGGAGGAGAGGGAGCAGAGAGAGGGUGGCCAUGAGGAUGGUACAAACACCUGCGUCCCUGGGGCAGAGAACAAGGGACAGUUCGGAGGGGAGAGUGACGCUGAGACCCAGCUAGCCGGAGGGAAGAACAGGGAGUGGUUUGGAGAUGGGAACGGAACGGAUGCUCAGGCACCAGAGAAGACAAACCCGGGAAGAAUUCAAGGGGAGGAUGGCGCCGGGCUCCAGGAAGUUGGGCAAGAAAGUCAGCGUCAGCUGGGAAAUGAAUGUCAUGGAAACAGUUACAUCCCAAAGAGGAAGAGCCAGGAACAUCUUACAGGCAAGGAUGGGGCAAAUAUUCAGACACCUAAGGCAGAGAACUGGGGAGAAUUAACAAGUGAGCUGGGUGGAGAAAGCCAGGCAGCAGCGCGGAAGAAAGGGGAGCGGGCUGAGAAUGGGGAAGAAACCCAGACGCCAAUGACGAGAAACUCAAGAGGAGCUGGAGGAGAGGCCGGUACAGACACAGGCACGUCUGGGGAGGGAAGCCAGAGGCAGGCAGGGCGUGGCGUGGACAGAAACAGCCCUUUGUCAGAGUGGAAGAAUCAGGAACAGAGGAGAAGUGAGGAUGGAACAGAAAUCCAGGCCCCAGAGAAGAGCAAGCAGAGAGUCCCUGGAGUGGAAGAUGCUUUAAAGCCCAGGGGACCUGAGAGAGAGAACGGACAGCUGGAGGGUGAGAUUGGAGGAUGCUGCUCUCCUGGCAGAGGGAGCUGGGAACAGGCUGGAGGAGAGAACACGGCAGAGAGUCAGGCGCCCCAGGAGAGAAACUGCAAUGACGAUGGAAGUGAGUGUGAUGGAAGGGUCCAGAGAGUUCCAAGUAAGAAACCGAGACUGCUAAAAGGCAAAGUGAACGGAAAGAGCAGUUUCUCAGAAUGGGGGAAUCAGGAACAGAUCGGAGGCAAGAAUGGUUCAGAAAUUCAAAUACGAGGGGAGAGAAACCUGAGAGGGACAGACGAUGAUGGUACCCAGGCACCCGUGACCGGGGGCCAGGCCCGGCCGAGAAGGCAAACUGAUGGGGAGACGCCGACCCGACGGUCAAGGGACCAGACCAGGGGUGGAACUGAGGACACUGCAGAAAUCUGGGGUGUAGGGAGCCCAAGAAAAUGCAGACCUGAGGAUGCUACAGUGUCUCCAGCACCAAGGGGCAGAGACGAGGGUCAGGUCAGAGGAAAGGGUGCUGCCAGGGGCAGGUUCCAAGGUAACAGUUGUGGGGGUGGGGGACCCACAGGCAGAAAGCGCAGCCCGGCACAGCCUGCACCUCUCACUGGCUUUGGAUGCUGGGCCUUGGACCAGGAAGAGACAGAGGCUGUAAACAGCGGCGCCCCUGCUCCCCGUUCUGAGAUGAGGCCUCAGCCUUGCUGGGGUGGGGGUUUCCUGAUGGCCGGUGGGGAGGGCCAGCACGUGACCAGACACAGCACUGACCCUGCCAGCGAGCACAGCGUGGAGACCAGCCCCGCCUCCCAGCAGCCCCAACCCGGAUCCCAGAGAAGAUGGCAAAGCGACAAAAGGGUAGAUCCAGCAAAGGCCUCCAGCCUGAUGCGGCAGCCCAGGAGCCCACAGUCCCCCGGGGCGCUCUCUGCCUGCCCCCCUAUUCGGUGUGGCAGAGUCCCCCAUGCCGCUAGAACCCUGGCAGGUGCCCCUGCUGUCCCUCCCAAGCGGCCAGCCUUCAGCUUCAGGAAGAGCAGACUGCUGCUCCUGGAAUCUCUCAUGCGGAGGAGGAUUGCACACCUGCAGUGGGGCCUCCCGCGGCGGAUCCUGCAGUCUUAUCUGCUCUUUAGCUUCUUAGGCCCUUGCUCAAUGCCCGUGGCUGCGGAGAGGCUGCCUGGAUUAUGCAUAGGCCGGGAGCUCCAAAGAGAGCAGGAAAAGCAGCAUGGAGCCCAGGAAUUGACGCCAGGCCUUAAAUCCCCAAAGAAGCCUCAAAGAGUUCUACUCUCCGAAAGAAAAAACUCAACACUUCCCACACAGGCCAGGGCUCUGCAGAAGCACAGACCAUGCAGGUCCGCGCCCAGGGGCAUUUCCACUCCGCCUCCAAAGCCCAGGAGAAUCAGGCCACCAAGGGGCGCCAGAGAACUACAGCUCCAGCAAGCGGUCCCCACCGACGUGCUCCCUGCUCCCCGGAACCCCAGCCCUGCAGAGCCUAGGAGCUGGUGUGGCCCAGAAAAUGUGCGAGAAUCUUCCAGGGAGAACAGCAGCGGCAGGACAAUGAUCAGGCCAGGGGUCUCAGAAGUAGCGGAGUGGUCUUCCAGCAGAGCAAGGACCUCACCCUCCAGGGCCGGCCACAACUCCUGGAAAGAAGGCACAUCCUGGGAGGCUUCUGAGCGCCCCAGACUCAAAAGUCAGCAGCCCACCUACUGGAGAGGAGGCCCAGAGCCUGUGCAGGUUGGAGGGCCUGGGCAGCAGAGUCCCUCCUGUUCCCCAGACCCCUCCGGCUUCAAAGGGAGUCUCUACUCGGCUGCAGCCAGCCUGAGCGAGACCCUGCUGAGCAAGAGAUCCGGGUGCUCACAGCUGGCUAGGCCCCCGCCCUUGGCCUCUAACCUGAGCCUGCGGGGUCCGAGACAGCUUCCCGGCGAGGGGGACCUGCGCGCAAGGGAGGCCAGCGUCGGAGUCAGCGCUGCUUUAGAGCCUAGCCUUCAGCUCCCAGGGCUCUGCUGGGCUGGGGCGGCUCUGCCUAGGAUAGGCAGCCGCCAGGGUGAGGGGGCUCCGUGGAAUCCAGAAGUUGCUCCCCCAAGGUUUCGUUUUAUGAAGCAUUUGCAAUGUUUUUUCUUCCGACGUAGCAUUAAAAAAUAGGGCACAGGCUCAGAGUCCUCAGAACAUGUGAGCGGCCUGCUCAGCCCCAACCUCUAAUAAAACUGGUUACUUGGGCCCAGUAGCGUUCAGAUUUCUUUGGUGUAAGUUUUCUGAAUGCCAUCUUUUGGGGUUUGCAAAACUUUAUGGGUGGGAUAAAAACCUUUNNNNNNNNNNNNNNNNNNNNNNNNNNNNNNNNNNNNNNNNNNNNNNNNNNNNNNNNNNNNNNNNNNNNNNNNNNNNNNNNNNNNNNNNNNNNNNNNNNNNUUUUUGGUUUUUCUCCGGUACCGGGAACCGAACUCACGACCUUGCACUUGCCAGGCAGGCGCUUUUGCCGCUGAGCUAAAUCCCCAGCCCCUCUAUUCUGUUUUGAAGAUUUGAGGAAUGUGGGUCAGCACUCUGUCUUUUUGAGACAGAUUCUCACUAUGCAGUUUAGGCUGCCUGUGAGCUCACUUUGUAGCCCAGGCUGCUCUCAAAUUCGCAAAGGUCCUCCUGCCUCAGCCUCCCGAGUGCUGGGAUUACAGAUGUGCCACUGUGCCCAGCUCAGUGUCAUCUUCUUAAGACCCCUGUCCUCCAUCCAGGUCUUCAUAGUAGAGUCUACGGACGCUUUUAUCAUGGGUCUUUUUUCUUUUGGACCCUGUAGUCUCGCUAUGUACUUCAGGCUGACCUUGAAUACACUUCUGUAGCCCAGGGAAGACUCGACCUCCUGCCUCAGCCUCCAGAGUGAUCCUCUGGAGAUCCUCUGGAGAUCCUGGUGAUCCUCCUGCCCCAGCCUCCACACACCUGGGAUUACAAGUGUGUGAAAUUAUUAUAAUAAUAAUUACUAUUUUUAUUAUUUUGGUGGUACUGGGGAUUGAACCCAGGACCUUGCAUGGAGCUACAUCCCCAGCCUUUUUCUUUUUUGAGACAGUCUUGCUAAGUUACCCAGGCCAGGCUAUAACUUGCAAUCUUCCUUUCUCAGCCUCCCAUGUAGUUGGGAUUAUAGGAAUGGAUCACUGUACCUGGCUAAAAAAAUUAUUUUUUAUUGUAGUAAUAUACAUUGGACAUAACAUUAUCUUAACCAUUUUAAAAAAUUAUUUUUAAGCAGUCUGUAUUUACAAUACACAGUGCUGACAUUCCUCUGGGAAGUUGGUGCAUGUGCAACUCUCCUCCCCUCCCUCCGUCUCAACCAUUUUAAGUGUAUAGUGCAGUGUAAUUCAUAAUGUGCGAAGCCAGGCAUGGUGGUGCACACCUGUAACCCCAGCACUCAGGAGGCAGAGGCAAGAGGGUUGCUGCAAAUUUAAGGCCAGCCUGGGCUACAUAGCGAGAUCCUGUCUCAAAAAAACCAAGGGAAAAAAGAAAUAAUGUGCAGCCAUCACUACAAUCGCCUCUGGAAUGCUUUCAUCUUGUAAAGGUGAAACUCUACUCCCAUUAUACAAUGACUCCCUAUAUCUUCUUGCCCACACCCCUGGCAACCACCUUUCUGCUCUUUGUCUCUAAUUCUGACUACCCAAAGUACCACAUAUAUGUGGACUCAUGCAGUAAUUGUCUCUUUGUGACUGGCUUAUUUCAAGCAAACAAAUAAAUUUUUUUUUUUUUUUUUUUUUUGAGAUGGGGUCUUGCUAUGUAAUUCAGGCUGGAUUUGAACUCACUAUGCAGCCCAGGCUUGCUUUGAACUUGUGGCAAUCCUCCUGCCUCAGCCUCCGGAGUGCUGGGGUUACAGGCGUGUGCCAUCACACUUGGCUUACAAAAGUGCUUUUAAUGCUUUUUGGUGUAUACCCAGAAUUAGAAUUGAGCAUUAUAUGUUAAUAUUAUUUAUGUUUAAUUUUUUGAGGAACUUCGCAGUGUCUCCACCAUUUUAUACCAUUUCCCACCAACAGAGCAUGAGUUUCUAAUAUUUACAAUUUUUCACUGACACCUAUUAUUUUCUAUUGCUUUUGAUAGCAGUCAUCAGGGUGGUCUUGAAUUCACAGCAAUCCUUCUGCCUCAGCCUUCUGAGUGCCGGGAUUACAAGUGUGCACCUCCACACCUGGCUGUUUAUCUUGUUUUUUUGAGGUACUAGAAUUACACCCAGGGACUUCACAUCGAGCUACAUGACAAAGGGUCUCACUAAAUUGUAAAGUUUCCCAGGCUAGUCUCAAACCUGUAAUCUUCCUGCCUCAGCCUUCCAGGUUGCUGGGGUUACAGGUGUGCACCACCAAACAUGGCCUGGAAUGUCACUUCUGAGAAUGGGUGUCAAAGACUGGCUUCCAUCUUGGGCACCUCUGUGGCUCCUUGCUUGCUCCUGAGGGAAGCUACCCUCCAUGUUCUAAACUUCUCCAUGGAAAGUCACAUAUGACAAGGAAUCAAGGAGGUUGCUGGACAACAGGCAUGGAGAAAAUAGCCUGGCUUGUAGUCUCAGCUUCCUGGGAGGCUGGAGCCCAGGACAGCCCAGGCAACACCACAAAUUGGGUGGGUUAAACAACAAAAGUUUAUUUUCUCGCAGUUCUGCAAGUUAGAAGUCCAAGAUCAAGGUUUGGGCUGACUUGGUCUCUGGCAAGGGUGUCUUCUUGGCUAGCAGAUAGUGGCAUUCUCCUGUGUCCUCACAUGGCCUUUCCUCCAUGUAUAUAUGUUUUUUUUUAUUUUUUAUUUUUUAUUUUUUUUGGUUUUUCUCCGGUACCGGGAACCGAACUCACGACCUUGCGCUUGCCAGGCAGGCGCUUUUGCCGCUGAGCUAAAUCCCCAGCCCCCCUCCAUGUAUAUAUGGAGGGAGAAAAAUAUGCAAUAAUAUUUUAUUGCUGUGGUUGAGGCCCAUGGUGAUGAAGAAUGAAACUGCAUAUGGAGGAGGUAGGCUGGAGGCAAAUUUAUUUUUUAUUUUUGUUUUUGUUUUUUGAGACAGGGUCUUGCUUUGUAGUUCAGACUGGCUUUGAACUCACUAUGUAGCCAAGACUGGCCAAACUCAUGGUGAUCCUCCUGCCUCAGCCUCCUAAGUGCUAGGAUUACAGGUGUGUGGCACCCGGCUUACACUAUAUAUUAUUUUUUAAAAAUCUCUUCAUUAAAAGGGAUUACUGUUAUAUUUAAAGUAUAUAAUGUAUUUAAAAUACAUUGGCUGAGCACAGUGGCACAUGCCUGUGAUCCCAGGACACAGAGGCUGAGGCAGGAGAAACAUCAUGAGUUUGAGGCAAGCCUGGGCUACAUAGUGAAACCUCGCCUCAAAAAACUAAAAAGAAAAAAAAGAGUGUUUACUUGCUCAAAGAUCAUUUCAUAAUCUUCUAGUGGGUGGCUGUUUUCCUAGUGAUUCCUCAUGGAGAGCACUUUUUCCCCUUUUACAGUGUUUCUGAAUGUCAGCUGGGAACGUUAAGAAAGUCCCUGGUCAUUGACAGACUGUUGUUAAUAGUGUGGUAAAGUGAUGUUUCUUCUUCAGCAUUCCUUAUGCACUCGAAGUCCUAGCCCUCUGUGAAAGAAUAUUUUAAUGGAAGUGGCUCAGCUUCUUUGAGAGAAAGGUGCAAUGGAAAUGUAAGAUAAUAUAAAUAACUUGUAGAGAAAAAUCUCUGAGAUCACUUAUUUUUUUUCUGUACCGGGGAUUGAACCCAGGGCCUUAACACCGAACUACAUGCCCAGCUCUUUUUAUUUUUUAUUUUGAGACAGGCUUUCACUAAAUUUCCCAGGCAGUACUCCAAUUUGCGAUCCUCCUGCCUCAGCCUCCUAAAGCGCUGAGAUUACAGGCGUGUGCCACCAUGACCGUAUUCUUUUUUUAAAGAGUAGAAAAACGGUUUUCUCUUUUUUCUUUCCAAGGCUAUUAACAGCUAUUUUAUAAAUGCCUUCCCACUUCGGUGUAGCAAAAACCCAGCAGGUUCUAAGAGCAACUGCUUUGGACAUCCCCGCACCCUCUCUAACGUCCACGCAGCCACCACCUGUUCUCAAGGGCAAGCGCACGCC
RNAcentral lists this long non-coding RNA (8863 nucleotides) under Chinchilla lanigera (long-tailed chinchilla). Its description in RNAcentral is "lncRNA (ENSCLAG00000027171.1)". Lineage: Eukaryota; Metazoa; Chordata; Mammalia; Rodentia; Chinchillidae. The record is from RNAcentral.